CCCGCUAUGCCUAAUAGCAGCUAUGCCACUGAAAACAUUAAAAAAAGUGUAACAUCCGGUUUAUAAUAAAUUUAGAGAUAAAUAUUAGUUAUUAUAAGUGUAAGAUUGUAAACAUCUUGAAGAGAAUAUACAUAUUUUGUUGAACAUUGCAGUUCAAAGCUAUCCACAAUUCCUUUUAAACGCCCCUUUACCAUCCCCUCGAUUUCUAAUGAUAACUUCUGUACGAGACGCCUUCAGCUGUGUAAAGAUCAUUGAUGGACAGUUCUCAUAUCUACACAUGCUGACACCGGAGCGGUAGUUGGAACUGUUUAAAUGAUACCUUGCCAAAGAUGUGCCUUCUCUCGAUUGAACAACGAUUUUAUACUCACGCUACGAAAUAGGAUAAUUAUUUGACAUUCGGAAACGGUUUAACCAAUUAUUUGGUGUAUACGUAGGCAUACUGAAUCUUAAUCAUUUUUUUAUGUUCGCAUAGCGUUUCAAAAGAAUAAGAAAUGGCGAAUGCAUUCGGAUUCUACCUGAUAUUUGUGUGUGGCUUGACCGAUCUAAUAACUAUCAACAAAUUGAAAGCAGAAAACAUCGACAAAAUGGAGGGCUGAGCCUUUCGCAGAGUUGUAUGUGAGAGCCAGGAACGACAACUCUGCGUGGAGAUUGCAUUUAUGCUUGGAAAGUCGUUGAAGGCUGGAGAAGGGAAGUAACUGCGCGUGGACCAGCUUAUGGAUAUGAAAAACACAUAACAGGGCUUUAACGGCACGUGAAUCGCAUUGUAAAGUAACGAUUUCUCCCGUUCAAGCCCUCCUUUUGCCAAGUUUCUUCACCCCGCCAGAGGGCAUUAUAGAUAGAGUUUAUGCAAUAAUACGAGUUAAAUAAUAUAGAGUAACAAAGCAAGAAGAAAUUUAAAACAAACGUUCUAUCUUACAUUUUUGGGAGUUAUUUUAUAAUAUGCUCUAUUUCCACGGAUGAGCUGUCAUUUUCAAAGAAGCCAAGUGGAAUACACAUUAAUAACAGCUAUUGUAAUUGUUGAAGGCACUUUCAAGAAGAUAUAAGUAACACACCUGUACUGUUUUGGAGUGCGGGUAUACAACCUGUUUGGGUAUUGUGUUAUGCAUAUGUGACGUUGUGAUGUAGCUACAGAUAUAAAGAGUCCACAACUAUUGAAGUGAUCGGCGUAUAUCGCCAUAUCGCCAUGUGCAAGCCUAUUGAAUUUAAAUAUAUGAUAUUUGUGUUUUUGGUCAAUUCACAAGUACAAAUGAUUUAGUUAUUAUGUGAAUUCUAACAUUUUCUUUUCGCCAGCGAAAUUGAGUUGAAGCAUAGCCACACAUUCUAAAACCCAUACACGCUGUUUUUUGCUUUGUAGUGUCUCCGUAAUUGAUACUGUCUGUUGAAUUAUUACUAUAGCAUUGUGAACAUCAAAGAUCUUACAGUUGAAUUAAUGCAAUAUAUGGCACUGUGUAAUAAAGUUACAUUUAUACUGCACAUAAUAUUAAACAUGAAACUUAAAUGCAAUAAAACAA
Long non-coding RNA from Dreissena polymorpha, 1511 nucleotides. RefSeq lists it as uncharacterized. The record is from RefSeq and is a predicted model, not a curated record. NCBI's taxonomy places the organism in Eukaryota, Metazoa, Mollusca, Bivalvia, Myida, Dreissenidae. The transcript is spliced from 2 exons.